ACGGGGUGCAGCAGGCGCGAAAUCUCUACAAUGCUGGAAACAGUGAUAGGGGGACUCCGAGUGGCGUCGGCUAAGCUGGCGUCUUUUGCCAAGUGUAAAUAGCUUGGAGAAUAAGGGUGUGGGCAAGACUGGUGGCAGCCGCCGCGGUAACACCAGCGCCUCAAGUGGUACCCACGAAUACUGGGCCUAAAGCGUUCGUAGCCGGUCAGGUAAGUCUUCUGUGAAAUAGUGUGGCUUAACUACACUGCGUGCAGGAGAUACUGCUUGGCUUGGGAACGGGGGAGGUCAGGAGUACGCCCGGGGUAGGGGUAAAAUCCUUUGAGCCUGGGCGGACUACCAGUGGCGAAGGCGCCUGACCAAAACGUGUCCGACGGUGAGGAACGAAAGCUGGGGGAGCGAACGGGAUUAGAUACCCCGGUAGUCCCAGCCGUAAAUGAUGCAGACUGUGGUGUUGCUUCAGAGUUAAUCUGCAGCAGUGCUGUAGCGUAGGUGUUAAGUCUGCCGCCUGGGGAGUACGGCCGCAAGGUUGAAACUUAAAGGAAUUGGCGGGGGAGCACCACAAGGGGUGGAUGCUACGGUUUAAUUGGAUACAACGCCGUGAACUUCACCAAGGGCGACGGCAGAAUGAAGGCCAGACUAAAGAUCUUGCCCAACAAGCCGAGAGGUGUUGCAUG
Molecule: ribosomal RNA, 674 nt
Filed under: uncultured archaeon
Lineage: Archaea
Description: bacterial SSU rRNA
Rfam family: Archaeal small subunit ribosomal RNA
Source: RNAcentral